Molecule: non-coding RNA, 25 nt
Filed under: Rattus norvegicus (Norway rat)
Lineage: Eukaryota; Metazoa; Chordata; Mammalia; Rodentia; Muridae
Source: RNAcentral
UGUCUGCUGCUUAGAUGCUUUCCUU